UGUUCUUGCCUGCUCCCAAACUCGCCU
This 27-nucleotide non-coding RNA is filed under the name Mus musculus (house mouse). Lineage: Eukaryota; Metazoa; Chordata; Mammalia; Rodentia; Muridae. The record is from RNAcentral.